CAAACAGGUAUGCAAAGGUGUAAGUCAACAAACAGGUAUGCACAGGUGAAAGUCAUCACAGACUUUUGUUCUGGAGCAAACAAUUAUGCAAAGGCGUAAGUCAACAAACAGGUAUGCACAGGUGAAAGUCAUCACCAGACUUUUAUUCUGGAACAAACAGGUAUGUACAGGUGAAAGUCAUCACACUCAGGCUUUUAUACUGGAACAAACAGGUAUGCACAGGUGUAAGUCAACAAACAGGUAUGCACAGGUGAAAGUCAUCACAGACUUUUGUUCUGGAGCAAACAAUUAUGCAAAGGCGUAAGUCAACAAACAGGUAUGCACAGGUGAAAGUCAUCACCAGACUUUUAUUCUGGAACAAACAGGUAUGCACAGGUGAAAGUCAUCAUAGGCUUUUAUUCUGGAACAAACAGGUAUGCACAGGUGAAAGUCAUCACAGACUUUUAUUCUGGAACAAACAGGUAUGGACAGGUGAAAGUCAUCACAGGCUUUUAUUCUGGAACAAACAGGUAUGCACAGGUGAAAGUCAUCACAGGCCAUUAUUCUGGAACAAACAGGUAUGCAAAGGUGUAAGUCAACAAACAGGUAUGCACAGGUGAAAGUCAUCACAGACUUGUAUUCUGGAACAAACAGGUAUGCACAGGUGAAAGUCAUCACAGUCUUUUAUUCUGGAACAAAGAGGUAUGCACAGGUGAAAGUCAUCACAGGCUUUUAUUCUGGAACAAAGAGGUAUGCACAGGUGAAAGUCAUCACAGUCUUUUAUUCUGGAACAAAGAGGUAUGCACAGGUGAAAGUCAUCACAGUCUUUUAUUCUGGAACAAAGAGGUAUGCACAGGUGAAAGUCAUCACAGUCUUUUAUUCUGGAACAAACAAGUAUGCACAGGUGAAAGUCAUCACAGACUUUUAUUCUGGAACAAACAGGUAUGCACAGGUGAAAGUCUUCACAGACUUUAUUCAGGCAUGCAUCAUGGUCAUGGUCAUGGUCAUGGCGUGAUCUGGACAUGCUUUUCUCAAAAUAACAAUAAAUUGGACACACCAGAUGCCCUUAUUCUGGGGAGCAGAUCCUCUGACAAGUAUGAAAUUCUGUUCGACCAGGGAUGCCACUAGGUCAUCUAGAUCUGUGGGCUCUGUCAUCUACUGUGACCUCUCUGACAGUAAUUUGCCCCUCAGGAUACCUUAGAAUGCACCAUUUUAACUUAAAAUUCUUGAAAACUGUUUGAUAUGGUGUUUGACAGGAUCGGUCAUACAUUCAUACAUUGUAUUCUAUGAGCUUUCUUAAAAAAAGUUAGUGUUU
Long non-coding RNA from Branchiostoma floridae (Florida lancelet), 1294 nucleotides. RefSeq lists it as uncharacterized. The record is from RefSeq and is a predicted model, not a curated record. NCBI's taxonomy places the organism in Eukaryota, Metazoa, Chordata, Leptocardii, Amphioxiformes, Branchiostomatidae. The transcript is spliced from 3 exons.